GGGGCUGACUGGCUUUGACAGCGUGUAGAAGCGGUAGGUAAGCAUGCAGAGUUUUGGUGUUCAAACUCUAUAAUCGCAAGAGCAUCGAACUAUAAUUGGCGAAAAUAACAAUUACGCUCUCGCUGCGUAACCUGAAGUACAGUAGGGUUCCUUUAUUCGCCUCAAAGUGAGGUGAACGAGACAUCACUCCAUUGCCCCGUCCCGAGACGUUUGGAUAAAGUGGUGCUAAGAAAUUCGGGAAUAGGGGAUUGCAAGUUCCGGGCAAUUCCCGAGAUAAAGGGACUAAGGUUCGGGUUGGAUGUCGUGAUCCUGCCCGCGCUCGAAAACCAAUUCACAGACUAAGCAUGUAGAAAGCCUAUUGAUUCCGCGUUUGGACGAGGGUUCAAUCCCCUCCAGCUCCACUU
Molecule: transfer-messenger RNA, 404 nt
Filed under: Muribaculaceae bacterium
Lineage: Bacteria; Pseudomonadati; Bacteroidota; Bacteroidia; Bacteroidales; Muribaculaceae
Rfam family: transfer-messenger RNA
About the family: Bacterial tmRNA, also known as 10Sa RNA or SsrA, is named for its dual tRNA and mRNA-like properties.
Source: RNAcentral